AUUGAACGCUGGCGGAAUGCUUUACACAUGCAAGUCGAACGGCAGCACGGACUUCGGUCUGGUGGCGAGUGGCGAACGGGUGAGUAACAUAUCGGAACGUAUCCAUUAAUGGGGGAUAACGAGUCGAAAGAUUCGCUAAUACCGCAUACGCCCUACGGGGGAAAGCUAGGGACCUUCGGGCCUGGCGUUAAUGGAGCGGCCGAUAUCUGAUUAGCUAGUUGGUGGGGUAAAGGCCCACCAAGGCGACGAUCAGUAGCUGGUCUGAGAGGACGACCAGCCACACUGGAACUGAGACACGGUCCAGACUCCUACGGGAGGCAGCAGUGGGGAAUUUUGGACAAUGGGCGCAAGCCUGAUCCAGCCAUUCCGCGUGAGUGAAGAAGGCCUUCGGGUUGUAAAGCUCUUUCGCAAGGGAAGAAAACUUAGCCACUAACAUUGGCUGAGGUUGACGGUACCUUGAUAAGAAGCACCGGCUAACUACGUGC
Molecule: ribosomal RNA, 485 nt
Filed under: uncultured Methylotenera sp.
Lineage: Bacteria; Pseudomonadati; Pseudomonadota; Betaproteobacteria; Nitrosomonadales; Methylophilaceae
Description: bacterial SSU rRNA
Rfam family: Bacterial small subunit ribosomal RNA
Source: RNAcentral